ACGUUAAAGGUGAACUGCAUUUCAGUCGGUUUAAAACCUCACAGUGUAUACACUUGCAUGUGCACGUGUGAGGAACGUGAGAGAGCAAGGGCAAGGUUACGGUUCUUGAACUUGUCCAGUGUGGUCAAAGUAUCCAGGUGGGGAGCAGGUAUCUUUUCCUGGUUGAUUCUACUAGCGGAGGUCAUAAAACGUUCGUCCUUCGUAUCGUCAAGACAUCCUAUUCUCUUACUCGCUCAUCUACUUGUCUUCCCCUUUUAUUUCUUCAAUAUUAUAUUAGUAAUAAAAUCAAUCGAAAUUGAUCUCUCAAAUCAGCAGUGUGUAAUCAAUGUUUUCAAUAAAUAUGAGAUUGUUCAAGACAA
Molecule: long non-coding RNA, 359 nt
Filed under: Polistes fuscatus (common paper wasp)
Lineage: Eukaryota; Metazoa; Arthropoda; Insecta; Hymenoptera; Vespidae
Description: uncharacterized LOC122522026
Source: RNAcentral